GUAAGGUUAUUGGUUUCAUCUCUUCAUCGAUGGGUGUCAUUCCAAACAUAAACUUAUAAUUCCACGAGGGUACAUGGUUGUCCCAUUACCAUAUGCUACUUGAAUUUUGACAGAUGAUGUGUUAUCCUGAAUUUGAUUGCAUGAGAUUGUUUCAACUUUAUUUUAUGAUACCGUAAGUUAUAAUCGUAUAUUACUUCUUACAAUGAUGGUAACUGUGGUAG
RNAcentral lists this long non-coding RNA (221 nucleotides) under Carica papaya (papaya). RNAcentral's name for it is "long non-coding RNA (CPAP_LNC009921)". Lineage: Eukaryota; Viridiplantae; Streptophyta; Magnoliopsida; Brassicales; Caricaceae. The record is from RNAcentral.